RNAcentral lists this small RNA (107 nucleotides) under Marmota monax (woodchuck). The record is from RNAcentral. Lineage: Eukaryota; Metazoa; Chordata; Mammalia; Rodentia; Sciuridae.
UCUGGGUGUGGUGGUGCACACCUGUAAUCCCAGCUAUUCGGGAGGCUGAAGUAGGAGAAUUGCAAGUUCAAGACCAACCUGGAGAACUUAGUGAGAUCCUGUCUUAA